UACGGAGGGUGCAAGCGUUGUUCGGAAUUACUGGGCGUAAAGCGCGUGUAGGCGGCCUUCUAAGUCUGAUGUGAAAGCCCGGGGCUUACCUCCGGAAGUGCAUUGGAGACUGGAAGGCUAGAGUACCGGAGAGGAGGGUGGAAUUCCUGGUGUAGCGGUGAAAUGCGUAGAUAUCAGGAGGAACACCGGUGGCGAAGGCGGCCCUCUGGACGGCUACUGACGCUGAGACGCGAAAGCGUGGGGAGCAAACAGG
Molecule: ribosomal RNA, 253 nt
Filed under: uncultured bacterium
Lineage: Bacteria
Description: partial 16S ribosomal RNA
Rfam family: Bacterial small subunit ribosomal RNA
Source: RNAcentral